AUGUCCAAAGCACACAAAGAAGCAGGGACCGGUACCCACAUCAUACAGGGUCCAGCCCCCAGACCCUGGGUGUGUUUUCUAGGUCUCAUCUAAGGAAGUCUGUGAAGUAGACUGUGUAUUUCUAUCGUUUUAUUAACCUCCUGUGGCAUUUCUCUAACUGUAGAAAUAAGCUGUGUUGGCAUCAAAGCAGUUACUCAUUUCUUGCUCUUUUUAUGUAGAAGUUGCUAGGCUGAUC
Molecule: long non-coding RNA, 235 nt
Filed under: Bos taurus (domestic cattle)
Lineage: Eukaryota; Metazoa; Chordata; Mammalia; Artiodactyla; Bovidae
Description: long non-coding RNA NONBTAT024913
Source: RNAcentral